GGGUUGUGAGGUUAAGCGACUAAGCGUACACGGUGGAUGCCCUGGCAGUCAGAGGCGAUGAAGGGCGUACUAAUCUGCGAUAAGCGCCGGUAAGGUGAUAUGAACCGUUAUAACCGGCGAUACCCGAAUGGGGAAACCCAGUGUGAUUCGUCACACUAUCAUUAACUGAAUCCAUAGGUUAAUGAGGCGAACCGGGGGAACUGAAACAUCUAAGUACCCCGAGGAAAAGAAAUCAACCGAGAUUCCCCCAGUAGCGGCGAGCGAACGGGGAGGAGCCCAGAGCCUGAAUCAGCAUGUGUGUUAGUGGAAGCGUCUGGAAAGGCGCGCGAUACAGGGUGACAGCCCCGUACACAAAAGCGCAUGUGCUGUGAGCUCGAUGAGUAGGGCGGGACACGUGGUAUCCUGUCUGAAUAUGGGGGGACCAUCCUCCAAGGCUAAAUACUCCUGACUGACCGAUAGUGAACCAGUACCGUGAGGGAAAGGCGAAAAGAACCCCGGCGAGGGGAGUGAAAAAGAACCUGAAACCGUGUACGUACAAGCAGUGGGAGCACNNNNNNNNNNNNGUGACUGCGUACCUUUUGUAUAAUGGGUCAGCGACUUAUAUUCUGUAGCAAGGUUAACCGAAUAGGGGAGCCGGAGGGAAACCGAGUCUUAAUUGGGCGUUAAGUUGCAGGGUAUAGACCCGAAACCCGGUGAUCUAGCCAUGGGCAGGUUGAAGGUUGGGUAACACUAACUGGAGGACCGAACCGACUAAUGUUGAAAAAUUAGCGGAUGACCUGUGGCUGGGGGUGAAAGGCCAAUCAAACCGGGAGAUAGCUGGUUCUCCCCGAAAGCUAUUUAGGUAGCGCCUCGUGAAUUCAUCUCCGGGGGUAGAGCACUGUUUCGGCUAGGGGGCCAUCCCGGCUUACCAACCCGAUGCAAACUGCGAAUACCGGAGAAUGUUAUCACGGGAGACACACGGCGGGUGCUAACGUCCGUCGUGAAGAGGGAAACAACCCAGACCGCCAGCUAAGGUCCCAAAGUCAUGGUUAAGUGGGAAACGAUGUGGGAAGGCCCAGACAGCCAGGAUGUUGGCUUAGAAGCAGCCAUCAUUUAAAGAAAGCGUAAUAGCUCACUGGUCGAGUCGGCCUGCGCGGAAGAUGUAACGGGGCUAAACCAUGCACCGAAGCUGCGGCAGCGACGCUUAUGCGUUGUUGGGUAGGGGAGCGUUCUGUAAGCCUGCGAAGGUGGCCUGUGAGGGUUGCUGGAGGUAUCAGAAGUGCGAAUGCUGACAUAAGUAACGAUAAAGCGGGUGAAAAGCCCGCUCGCCGGAAGACCAAGGGUUCCUGUCCAACGUUAAUCGGGGCAGGGUGAGUCGACCCCUAAGGCGAGGCCGAAAGGCGUAGUCGAUGGGAAACGGGUUAAUAUUCCCGUACUUGGUGUUACUGCGAAGGGGGGACGGAGAAGGCUAUGUUGGCCGGGCGACGGUUGUCCCGGUUUAAGCGUGUAGGUGUGUGUUCCAGGUAAAUCCGGUUCACUUUAACACUGAGGCGUGACGACGAGGCACUACGGUGCUGAAGCAACAAAUGCCCUGCUUCCAGGAAAAGCCUCUAAGCAUCAGGUAACAUCAAAUCGUACCCCAAACCGACACAGGUGGUCAGGUAGAGAAUACCAAGGCGCUUGAGAGAACUCGGGUGAAGGAACUAGGCAAAAUGGUGCCGUAACUUCGGGAGAAGGCACGCUGACACGUAGGUGAAGUGAUUUACUCAUGGAGCUGAAGUCAGUCGAAGAUACCAGCUGGCUGCAACUGUUUAUUAAAAACACAGCACUGUGCAAACACGAAAGUGGACGUAUACGGUGUGACGCCUGCCCGGUGCCGGAAGGUUAAUUGAUGGGGUCAGCGCAAGCGAAGCUCCUGAUCGAAGCCCCGGUAAACGGCGGCCGUAACUAUAACGGUCCUAAGGUAGCGAAAUUCCUUGUCGGGUAAGUUCCGACCUGCACGAAUGGCGUAAUGAUGGCCAGGCUGUCUCCACCCGAGACUCAGUGAAAUUGAACUCGCUGUGAAGAUGCAGUGUACCCGCGGCAAGACGGAAAGACCCCGUGAACCUUUACUAUAGCUUGACACUGAACAUUGAGCCUUGAUGUGUAGGAUAGGUGGGAGGCUUUGAAGUGUGGACGCCAGUCUGCAUGGAGCCGACCUUGAAAUACCACCCUUUAAUGUUUGAUGUUCUAACGUGGACCCGUUACCCGGGUUGCGGACAGUGUCUGGUGGGUAGUUUGACUGGGGCGGUCUCCUCCUAAAGAGUAACGGAGGAGCACGAAGGUUGGCUAAUCCUGGUCGGACAUCAGGAGGUUAGUGCAAUGGCAUAAGCCAGCUUGACUGCGAGCGUGACGGCGCGAGCAGGUGCGAAAGCAGGUCAUAGUGAUCCGGUGGUUCUGAAUGGAAGGGCCAUCGCUCAACGGAUAAAAGGUACUCCGGGGAUAACAGGCUGAUACCGCCCAAGAGUUCAUAUCGACGGCGGUGUUUGGCACCUCGAUGUCGGCUCAUCACAUCUGGGGCUGAAGUAGGUCCCAAGGGUAUGGCUGUUCGCCAUUUAAAGUGGUACGCGAGCUGGGUUUAGAACGUCGUGAGACAGUUCGGUCCCUAUCUGCCGUGGGCGCUGGAGAACUGAGGGGGGCUGCUCCUAGUACGAGAGGACCGGAGUGGACGCAUCACUGGUGUUCGGGUUGUCAUGCCAAUGGCACUGCCCGGUAGCUAAAUGCGGAAGAGAUAAGUGCUGAAAGCAUCUAAGCACGAAACUUGCCCCGAGAUGAGUUCUCCCUGAGACUUAAAGUCUCCUGAAGGAACGUUGAAGACGACGACGUUGAUAGGCCGGGUGUGUAAGCGCAGCGAUGCGUUGAGCUAACCGGUACUAAUGAACCGUGAGGCUUAACCUUACAACGCCGAAG
This 2928-nucleotide ribosomal RNA is filed under the name Salmonella enterica subsp. enterica serovar Enteritidis str. SA20100349. RNAcentral describes it as "bacterial LSU rRNA". It matches the Rfam family "Bacterial large subunit ribosomal RNA". The record is from RNAcentral. Lineage: Bacteria; Pseudomonadati; Pseudomonadota; Gammaproteobacteria; Enterobacterales; Enterobacteriaceae.